GGGUCGGUAGCUCAAUGGGAGAGCAGCCCGCUCAUAACGGGUUGGUCCUAGGUUCGAUUCCUAGCCGACCCA
This 72-nucleotide transfer RNA is filed under the name Candidatus Omnitrophica bacterium CG11_big_fil_rev_8_21_14_0_20_63_9. RNAcentral's name for it is "tRNA-Met". It matches the Rfam family "tRNA". From Rfam's summary of the family: Transfer RNA (tRNA) molecules are approximately 80 nucleotides in length. The record is from RNAcentral. Lineage: Bacteria; Pseudomonadati; Candidatus Omnitrophota.